Drosophila virilis is the source of this 514-nucleotide non-coding RNA. The record is from RefSeq and is a predicted model, not a curated record. NCBI's taxonomy places the organism in Eukaryota, Metazoa, Arthropoda, Insecta, Diptera, Drosophilidae.
ACUAAGUUACUAAAUAGUAGGCUUCAAAUAUUCCUUAUUUGAAAAUACUGUUCAAAGGGGGAAACGUCUCUGGCGCGCAAACAGCAAUUAUUUUACAUGCUUUCUAACAGGUCUCCAUUGAAUUCAAUUUGAAAGACAUAGUUGAAUAACCGAUUUCAAUCAAAGUUGAAAGUCGCAAUUUAUCUUGCCUGUUGCACUUUCCUAAAUAUAUUUCAUGAAGACAAUCCGCUGAUGCCUUCCCAUUGCUCAUCACGCAGACGUUGUCUCCAGUCACAAUGGAGUCUACAAUCUAUAGUCGCGCCAUGAACCUGAUACUGUAUACACACUGUCGACUGUCUGCCAGUGAGCGCAAAUCCGUUACAAACUCGUGAACCGGCUGCCAUGAGACGCAGCUCCUGCACCGGGAGAGUUGGAGAAAAGUUCGUGACAUGGCAUCAACAGUUUGUCAUUAAACAUUUCGACAAUAAUUUGUGCUUUGUGCUCGUAUUUAUAUGCACACUUAAAUGUAUUUUUU